Molecule: ribosomal RNA, 424 nt
Filed under: uncultured bacterium
Lineage: Bacteria
Description: partial 16S ribosomal RNA
Rfam family: Bacterial small subunit ribosomal RNA
Source: RNAcentral
AAUAUUGGACAAUGGGCGAACGCCUGCUCCAGCCAUGCCGCGUGUGUGAAGAAGGUCUUCGGAAUGUAAAGCACUUUAAUCUGGGCGGUAGGCCCGUAAGUUAAUACCUUGCUGUUUUGACGUUCCCGACAAAAUAAGCCCCGUCUAACUUCGUGCCAGCAGCCGCGGUAAUACGAAGGGUGAAAGCAUUAAUCGGAAUUACUGGGCGUAAAGCGCGCGUAGGUGGUUCGUUAAGUUGGAUGUGAAAGCCCCGGGAUCAACCUGGGAACUGCAGCAAAAACUGGCGGGCUAGAGUACGGUAGAGGGUGGUGGAAUUUCCUGUGUAGCGGUGAAAUGCGUAGAUAUAGGAAGGAACACCAGUGGCGAAGGCGACCACCUGGACUGAUACUGACACUGAGGUGCGAAAGCGUGGGGAGCAAACAGG